Molecule: ribosomal RNA, 468 nt
Filed under: uncultured bacterium
Lineage: Bacteria
Description: partial 16S ribosomal RNA
Rfam family: Bacterial small subunit ribosomal RNA
Source: RNAcentral
GACGAACGCUGGCGGCGUGCUUAACACAUGCAAGUCGAACGGAAAGGCCCUGCUUUUGUGGGGUGCUCGAGUGGCGAACGGGUGAGUAACACGUGAGUAACCUGCCCUUGACUUUGGGAUAACUUCAGGAAACUGGGGCUAAUACCGGAUAGGAGCUCCUGCUGCAUGGUGGGGGUUGGAAAGUUUCGGCGGUUGGGGAUGGACUCGCGGCUUAUCAGCUUGUUGGUGGGGUAGUGGCUUACCAAGGCUUUGACGGGUAGCCGGCCUGAGAGGGUGACCGGCCACAUUGGGACUGAGAUACGGCCCAGACUCCUACGGGAGGCAGCAGUGGGGAAUAUUGAACAGUGGGCGGAAGCCUGAUGCAGCAACGCCGCGUGCGGGAUAACGGCCUUCGGGUUGUAAGCCGCUUUCGCCUGUGACGAAGCGUGAGUGACGGUAAUGGGUAAGGAAGCACCGGCUAACUACGUG